UACCCGCUGAACUUAAGCAUAUCAAUAAGCGGAGGAAAAGAAACCAACAGGGAUUGCCCUAGUAACGGCGAGUGAAGCGGCAACAGCUCAAAUUUGAAAUCUGGCUCUUUUAGAGUCCGAGUUGUAAUUUGCAGAGGGCGCUUUGGCUUUGGCAGCGGUCCAAGUUCCUUGGAACAGGACGUCACAGAGGGUGAGAAUCCCGUACGUGGUCGCUAGCUAUUGCCGUGUAAAGCCCCUUCGACGAGUCGAGUUGUUUGGGAAUGCAGCUCUAAAUGGGAGGUAAAUUUCUUCUAAAGCUAAAUACUGGCCAGAGACCGAUAGCGCACAAGUAGAGUGAUCGAAAGAUGAAAAGCACUUUGGAAAGAGAGUCAAACAGCACGUGAAAUUGUUGAAAGGGAAGCGCUUGCAGCCAGACUUGCUUGCAGUUGCUCACCCGGGCCUCUGUGCCCGGUGCAUUCUUCUGCAGGCAGGCCAGCAUCAGUUUGGGCGGUGGGAUAAAGGUCUCUGUCACGUACCUCUCUUCGGGGAGGCCUUAUAGGGGAGACGACAUACCACCAGCCUGGACUGAGGUCCGCGCAUUUAUGCUAGGAUGCUGGCGUAAUGGCUGUAAGCGGCCCGUCUUGAAACACGGACCAAGGAGUCUAACAUCUAUGCGAGUGUUUGGGUGUCAAGCCCGAACGCGUAAUGAAAGUGAACGGAGGUGGGAACCCGCAAGGGUGCACCAUCGACCGAUCCUGAUGUCUUCGGAAGGAUUUGAGUAAGAGCAUGGCUGUUGGGACCCGAAAGAUGGUGAACUAUGCUUGAAUAGGGUGAAGCCAGAGGAAACUCUGGUGGAGGCUCGCAGCGGUUCUGACGUGCAAAUCGAUCGUCAAAUUUGGGCAUAGGGGCGAAAGACUAAUCGAACUAUCUAGUAGCUGGUUCCUGCCGAAGUUUCCCUCAGGAUAGCAGUAACGUAUUCAGUUUUAUGAGGUAAAGCGAAUGAUUAGAGGCCUGGGGGUUGAAACAACCUUCACCUAUUCUCAAACUUUAAAUAUGUAAGAAGUGUUUGUUGCUUAAUUGAACGUACACAUUUGAAUGAAACGUUAUUAG
RNAcentral lists this ribosomal RNA (1089 nucleotides) under Pyrenophora tritici-repentis. RNAcentral describes it as "LSU rRNA". It matches the Rfam family "Eukaryotic large subunit ribosomal RNA", at positions 22 to 1126 of the family's 3401-position model. The record is from RNAcentral. Lineage: Eukaryota; Fungi; Ascomycota; Dothideomycetes; Pleosporales; Pleosporaceae.